Molecule: transfer RNA, 72 nt
Rfam family: tRNA
About the family: Transfer RNA (tRNA) molecules are approximately 80 nucleotides in length. Their secondary structure includes four short double-helical elements and three loops (D, anti-codon, and T loops).
Source: Rfam
GGGCUCGUGGUCUAGCGGUAUGACGUCGCCCUUACACGGCGAAGGUCACCGGUUCGAAUCCGGUCGGGCCCA